This 425-nucleotide ribosomal RNA is filed under the name uncultured bacterium. RNAcentral's name for it is "bacterial SSU rRNA". It matches the Rfam family "Bacterial small subunit ribosomal RNA", at positions 356 to 773 of the family's 1533-position model. The record is from RNAcentral.
GGGGAAUAUUGCACAAUGGGCGCAAGCCUGAUGCAGCCAUGCCGCGUGUAUGAAGAGGGCCUUCGGGUUGUAAAGUACUUUCAGCGAGGAGGAAGGCAUCGUGGUUAAUAACCGCAGUGAUUGACGUUACUCGCAGAAGAAGCACCGGCUAACUCCGUGCCAGCAGCCGCGGUAAUACGGAGGGUGCAAGCGUUAAUCGGAAUUACUGGGCGUAAAGCGCACGCAGGCGGUCUGUCAAGUCGGAUGUGAAAUCCCCGGGCUCAACCUGGGAACUGCAUUCGAAACUGGCAGGCUAGAGUCUUGUAGAGGGGGGUAGAAUUCCAGGUGUAGCGGUGAAAUGCGUAGAGAUCUGGAGGAAUACCGGUGGCGAAGGCGGCCCCCUGGACAAAGACUGACGCUCAGGUGCGAAAGCGUGGGGAGCAAAC